This 466-nucleotide ribosomal RNA is filed under the name uncultured bacterium. RNAcentral describes it as "partial 16S ribosomal RNA". It matches the Rfam family "Bacterial small subunit ribosomal RNA", at positions 28 to 507 of the family's 1533-position model. The record is from RNAcentral.
GAUGAACGCUGGCGGCGUGCUUAACACAUGCCAGUCGAACGGAAAGGCCAGUGCUUGCACUGGUGCUCGAGUGGCGAACGGGUGAGUAACACGUGGGUGAUCUGCCCUGCACUUUGGGAUAAGCCUGGGAAACUGGGUCUAAUACCAGAUAGGACCAUGCUUUGGAUGGUGUGGUGGAAAGUUUUUUCGGUGUGGGAUGAGCUUGCGGCCUAUCAGCUUGUUGGGGGGGUAAUGGCCUACCAAGGCGUCGACGGGUAGGCCGCAUUAGAGGGUGGACGGCCACCUUGGGACUACGGAAGGGCCCAGGCCCCAAGGGGGGGCAACGGGGGGGAGUAUGGCCCAGCGGGGCCAAGCCUGUUGAAGCGGCCCCGGGUGGGGGAAGACGGCUUUGGGGUUGUAAACCCCUUUCACAAAUGACGAAGCUUUUUGGGCGGGUCGGUUAGAAAGAACCCCCGCUAACUUCCUG